Molecule: long non-coding RNA, 1149 nt
Organism: Gigantopelta aegis
Lineage: Eukaryota; Metazoa; Mollusca; Gastropoda; Neomphalida; Peltospiridae
Exons: 3
Source: RefSeq, a predicted model, not a curated record
UGUGUUGGAUGAUUACCUAGAUGAAUGUCAUAGUUUGGUUGAUAUAUUGCAUAUUGUGUUUUUAACCACAAACGUUAACGUUGUUGUCUGUGGGAUUUUAUAUAGUAUAGUUUAACCUAUAACGGUAUUCCAGUCGCCUAUCUUGACGCAAAGCCUCGAGUUCGAAAGUCGAUCGAUCGAGAUAGUAAGUCGAUCGAUCAUCAAAUACUGUUUAAAAUAUGCUGCCAUUGCUGUUCACCUCAUUGUACAGUUUUCUUUCAGGAUCUCUAAUUUUACUUCCAUGCUGGACUAAGUGCCUUUUAACCACCUGUGGAUUCUUUUGGUAUCUUUUUUGAUAGUCUGACUUUUUGUCCAUCUGAUGUAACGAAUGCCUCACCCGAGCCGACAGUUCGAUGCCACAGUACUUGCAUUUUUCUAUCGUCGACGUUCCCGGGGUGUUGUUCAGCCUGUGGAUGGUGGAUGCAGCUCUUCCAGUCAUCGUCCGUGAAUAGUUCACAUUUUUAGCUCUGUGAAUCGGUGUGUACCCAGGAACAUGGAUCGAUGCUACCAGUUAUUCUUUAUUCCUCCAAUGCAGACGACCGAGUACCGUGAACACUUUGAACAGUCACCACCGUAGCACAAAAGUGUCGAUUACAGAACCUUUGGCUCGUCGCACUCGAGGGAAGCUGUGGAGUGGUAUUUGAAAGCUGCAUUCCAUUCAUCUACCAUUCUGUCAUUGUCCAUUGUUCUCAUGCCUUCUUUGUCUUUGCACUGUUGUUCUUCUUUCAUUUCAAAUGCAGUACAUGUACUCUUAAUGGGACGCAGCAGCCGGACUGGCUGUGACGCACCUUCGCAAUCUGGAGUGGAUAUGGUGGCUGAAGUGAAACUCGACUUCGUGACCAAGACAAACUCCUCUAUAUUCAUCCAGCGUACAGGUUGCAACUUCUCGGUCUCCGAUUCUGGACUUGCAUGUUCAUGUGGCAUAGUUUUACCCUUAUUCCAAGGUGUAUGUCCCUUCUUGAACUGUGUAUUUCGUCUUGUAUUGCCUUCCAUGGAUGUCACUUGUAGUGUAUAAAACAGUGAAAUACUUAUUGUGGUAUGCAUGUCCACACUUAUAUAUAUCAGGCCAUGUGUGAUGUCACCUUCAUUUUUAAUACAUUAAAACAUUUC